GAUGAACGCUGGCGGCGUGCUUAACACAUGCAAGUCGAACGAAGCACUUUAUUUGAUUUCCUUCGGGAGUGAUUAUUUUGUGACUGAGUGGCGGACGGGUGAGUAACGCGUGGGUAACCUGCCUUGUACAGGGGGAUAACAGUUGGAAACGGCUGCUAAUACCGCAUAAGCGCACAGCAUCGCAUGAUGCAGUGUGAAAAACUCCGGUGGUAUAAGAUGGACCCGCGUUGGAUUAGCUAGUUGGUGAGGUAACGGCCCACCAAGGCGACGAUCCAUAGCCGACCUGAGAGGGUGACCGGCCACAUUGGGACUGAGACACGGCCCAAACUCCUACGGGAGGCAGCAGUGGGGAAUAUUGCACAAUGGGCGAAAGCCUGAUGCAGCGACGCCGCGUGAGCGAAGAAGUAUUUCGGUAUGUAAAGCUCUAUCAGCAGGGAAGAUAAUGACG
RNAcentral lists this ribosomal RNA (448 nucleotides) under uncultured bacterium. Its description in RNAcentral is "bacterial SSU rRNA". It matches the Rfam family "Bacterial small subunit ribosomal RNA", at positions 28 to 456 of the family's 1533-position model. The record is from RNAcentral.